AGCAGGGUAGAGCAGUGGUGGCUCGUUGGUCUUAUUAGCCAAAGGUCGGAGGUUCAAUUCCUUCUCCUGCAA
RNAcentral lists this transfer RNA (72 nucleotides) under Caudoviricetes sp. Its description in RNAcentral is "tRNA-Ile". It matches the Rfam family "tRNA". Rfam says of the family: Transfer RNA (tRNA) molecules are approximately 80 nucleotides in length. Their secondary structure includes four short double-helical elements and three loops (D, anti-codon, and T loops). The record is from RNAcentral. Lineage: Duplodnaviria; Heunggongvirae; Uroviricota; Caudoviricetes.